ACGCCUACUGUUCACGUGAAGUCUGUGUGUGUAGAGGAGCCUACUGCAAUAUUGUUUUUGUGUGUGUGUGUGUGCGUGUAGACGAGCCAAGCUGCAGCGAGAAGGAGGGAGGGAGUCUGUGGAAACACGUGGAGCGCGCUGUCCGCAGCCGGCACCGGACCUAUCCGCUGUAAAUCGCCUCGAGCGAUCCUGGAACUCUUUGGACCUCAGCUGAGUCAUCGCCAAAAGCUGGAGCUGGCGGCCAUGAAACAAAUUUGGUUCUUCACUUUGGACAAGGUCGGCAAACCCCGGGGCGGCAACAACAACGACGGCUACGACGACGAUAACAACAACUACAUCCCUGAGGAGCCUCAAAGACGUCGUGAGAAAAGGGAGCGCCGGGCGGAUCUACCCGAGGCGUCUGAGGGAGUACACCGGGGCCAUCCUCGACUUCCUGCUGUACGCCAAGGGGC
Molecule: non-coding RNA, 452 nt
Organism: Petromyzon marinus (sea lamprey)
Lineage: Eukaryota; Metazoa; Chordata; Hyperoartia; Petromyzontiformes; Petromyzontidae
Source: RefSeq, a predicted model, not a curated record